Molecule: long non-coding RNA, 1768 nt
Organism: Malaclemys terrapin pileata
Lineage: Eukaryota; Metazoa; Chordata; Testudines; Emydidae
Exons: 3
Source: RefSeq, a predicted model, not a curated record
UUUAAGAAGCACAAACAAAACACUGUGCCAAAGGCCAGGAGCAGCAUUCCUGGCGCCUCCUCGCUUCCUGUUUGAAGCUGCAUUCCUGCCAUGAAGUCACCGCAGAAAGAGCCUGCUCUGGAAUGCAGCCUGUGCACGCUGUGCAGUCAGGGCUGCAAGCGGCAGGCUCCGGGGCAGGGCUCUCUGCCCAUGGUGCACCCCGAUGUGUGCUCGGGUUCCCCGGGAGCUGCAGGGGACUCCCCUGGCUUAGUCUGAGGCAGAAAUUGGCAGCUCUCUCGUUUUCCGUGGGCUGGACUGACUCCAGGGCAAAGAACACCAGGGCACUGGGAUUCCUGGGUCUGUUCUGGUGCUGGGAGGGAGUGGGAUCUAGUGGUUAGAGGAGGGGGGCUAGGGCCUCCCAUCUCUGUGUACUGCCAUCACUUUGGGUGGAGAGAAAGCGAGGCCUAGAGGGGUGCGAGCCAGGACUCCUGGGUUCUGUUCCCUGCUCUAACACUCAUAGCUUUGGACAGGGUACUUAAGCUCCGUGCCUCAGUUUCCCCACCACUAAAGCUGGGAGGGUGACUGUCCUAACCCACCCCUUGGUGGCAGCCUGAUGGAGCUGAGGACUAAGCAGACGGUGUGGAGACAUGUUAGUGUUAGAUGGCCACACACCAGUCCUUUAACCAAACCCCAGAGCUCUGCUGGGGAGGGGAUCUGCAGCCAGUGCAGGUGUGAGAUGGAUGCUGAAGACUCCUUGAUGCUGCUAACAAGGCAGCUCAACUGCUGCACCUGGAUAAUCCUCACAGGCCUUUCAUGGGGCCUCCUGUGGGGCAAUGAGCCCCAGGCCCCGCCCGCUGCCCCCUUGUUCUCUGUUGGGAAGUGUUAAUGGGAAGUGUCAGUGCUUUAUUGCUAGCUGUUAGUGGAGGUCUUUGUUCCCCUGAAGGAGGGCCAGGCGGUCUCUUUAUCGGCUCCUCUCCAAGCCCAGGGCUGUGUGACUUUGCACUGAGGUGUGCUGGGGGUGCUAUCAGGGAUUUGCUGCUUAUCUGCAGGGCCUUGUGCAUCAGCCAGCUCCCCCUGAGUUUCACUGGGCCCCCUGCUGCCUUGCUGGUUUCAGCAGAGAAUCCUGCACAUAGAUUAGGAGUGCUGGGCGAAUGGGAGCCACAUGGACAAGGCCUCCAGUCCUGGCCAGGGCACCGCUGCUCCCAGCAGCCAGGCCCAGGACCCCUCUCUCCCUGGGGGAGAGGCCUAUCUAUCUCUCCUGGGCUUGGAGUGCUGGUGAUGGGCAGGUAGCACGUAGGGGAUCCAGGCAAGGCCUUUGCACCCCCAUCCCUCUACCUGUGUGCCUGUUCACAUUUCAGCUCAGCAUGCCGCUGGGGGACUUCACUGCCAUGGUACCCGCCAAACGAUGCCCCAGGGGGAGGAAGGGGAUGUCCCAAAGGACUGAUGGAAAUGCAGCCGGCCCCGCAGUAAUGUGACCGUACAGCCCUGGAAAGGCAAAGCACACCUGCACAACGUGCCCUAUGGGGCCCUUCAGCGCAUCUGCUGGGACUUCAGAGCUGCGAGCUUCCCCAGAGCCGUGCCCUGCCCGUGCCAGCCAGGACUCCAACGGUGUGCACUUCCCCACAGCAGGGCCUGACCUAUAAGGUGCAAACACUUCAGCGCCCAUGCAAGCCUUCCAGGCCCUUCCACCACACCAAGGAUUCUAGUUCACAAGCCAACAGAAAGGACAGUUGCCGCAGCACAGCGAGAACUGGCUGGGCAGGACUCUUCCCUCCCGAGCCUAAAUCCU